AUCGGAGUUUGCUCUCCUAGGUGAACUGCUCACGCUAACGACCUCCACCUGCCCGGGUUUGUAAUCGGAGUUUGCUCUCCUAGGUGAACUGCUCACGCUAACGACCUCCACCUGCCCGGGUUUGUAAUCGGAGUUUGCUCUCCUAGAUGAACUGCUCACGCUAACGACCUCCACCUGCCCGGGUUUGUAAUCGGAGUUGUCCCUCUCCUAGGCGAAUUGCCUACCACGGCUACGAGCUCCACCUGCCCGUGUUUGUUGUUCGGAGUUGUCCCUCUCCUAGGCAGAUUGCCUACCACGGCUAACGACCUCCACCUGCCCGGGUUUAUUGUUCGGAGUUUGCUCUCCUAGGUGUAUUGCCUAUGACGGCUCACGAGCCCAACCUGCCCGGGUUUUUUAUUCGGAGUUUGCUCUCCUAGGUGUAUUGCCUAUGACGGCUCACGAGCCCAACCUGCCCGGGUUUUUUAUUCGGAGUUUGCUCUCCUAGGUGUAUUGCCUAUGACGGCUCACGAGCCCAACCUGCCCGGGUUUUUUAUUCGGAGUUUGCUCUCCUAGGUGUAUUGCCUAUGACGGCUAACGAGCCCAGCCUGCCCGUGUUUAUUGUUCGGAGUUGUCCCUCUCCUAUGCAGAUUGCCUACCACGGCUAACGAGCUCCACCUGCCCGGGUUUGUGGUCAAAGUUUUCCUUCUCCUAGGUGAACUGCUCACGCUAACGACCUCCACCUGACCGGGUUUGUAAUCGGAGUUUGCUCUCCUAGAUGAAUUGCUUUCGCUAACGAGCUCCAACUGCCCGGGUUUAUUGUUCGGAGUUUGCUCUCCUAGGUGAACUGCUUUCGCUAACGACCUACACCUGCCCGGGUUUUUUGUUCGGAGUUUGCUCUCCUAGGUGAACUGCUUUCGCUAACGACCUCCACCUGCCCGGGUUUUUUGUUCGGAGUUUGCUCUCCUAGGUGUAUUGCCUAUGACGGCUCACGAGCCCAACCUGCCCGGGUUUUUUAUUCGAAGUUUGCUCUCCUAGGUGUAUUGCCUAUGACGGCUCACGAGCCCAACCUGCCCGGGUUUUUUAUUCGGAGUUUGCUCUCCUAGGUGUAUUGCCUAUGACGGCUCACGAGCCCAACCUGUCCGGGUUUUUUGUUCGGAGUUUGCUCUCCUAGGUGUAUUGCCUAUGACGGCUCACGAGCCCAACCUGCCCGGGUUUUUUGUUCGGAGUUUGCUCUCCUAGGUGUAUUACCUAUGACGGCUAACGAGCCCAACCUGCCCGUGUUUGUUGUUUGGAGUUGUCCCUCUCCUAGGCAGAUUGCCUACCACGGCUAACGACCUCCACC
Eriocheir sinensis (Chinese mitten crab) is the source of this 1321-nucleotide long non-coding RNA. RefSeq lists it as uncharacterized. Lineage: Eukaryota; Metazoa; Arthropoda; Malacostraca; Decapoda; Varunidae. The record is from RefSeq and is a predicted model, not a curated record. The transcript has 4 exons.